Molecule: long non-coding RNA, 2160 nt
Organism: Branchiostoma floridae (Florida lancelet)
Lineage: Eukaryota; Metazoa; Chordata; Leptocardii; Amphioxiformes; Branchiostomatidae
Exons: 4
Source: RefSeq, a predicted model, not a curated record
UAUGUCUACUAACGUUUUUUCUACGUGUGUUUUACACAUGAUACUAGUAUGGCGCUGUGGCAUGCCCGCAGUCCCCACUACGACCAAUGGAAUGUUUGGAGAAUAUGUCCAAGCUUUCAAGUUUGAUGUGAUCCUUUUUUUUUACAUGUUGGCCUGCUGUUUAAAACCUUUCUCCCCUUUCCUAGCUCCCCCUUUUCCGCUAUGGAAUAACCCAUGGUCGCUGGCCAAUGGGCUGCCUAGUAUUCAUAUUGCGCAAUAUUGCGCAAUGCAGAUGAAACGUAAACCAAGCUGAUCCGUGCACAGCAGUCAUUUCGCUGCCAGACAGAGGGGAGACAACACAUGUCUGGGACCGGUCUCUGAUGAUUAGUAACAACUGCCCCCACGAAGUCAACGCACUCCCCUGCACUUCGAACGCAGGACAGUGAAGAAGUGAAACCUAAUGACGGUUGAUGAUUGACAGGACGCGUGUGAACCUGACAUCUUGCUAUAUUGCCGGUUAAUUGAAAACGUGACAAACCCUGAUUUCUCCGAUGACCCCGAUAACCCGAUGACCCCGGGGCAGAGAAAGCUGACAUAGCUUGAUACAACGUUUGCCGGUUCCCACGUUGUUGUUUUUUCCAACAUUUCCAAACUCCCCCUUUUCCGCUAUGGAAUAACCCAUGGUCGCUGGCCAAUGGGCUGCCUAGUAUUCAUAUUGCGCAAUGCAGAUGAAACGUAAACCAAGCUGAUUACGAACACAGCAGUCAUUUCGCUGCCAGACAGAGGGGAGACAACACGUGUCUGAGACUGGUCUCUGAUGAUUAAUUACGACUGACCCCACGAAGUCAACGCACUCACCUGCACUUCGGGGCUCAUCAUAAAGAUAAACAAGAUCAAAAGAAGUACUAUAAUACUUGCAGUGGAAAGGAAACAUCUCAUCAUCAUGGACUUCUUAUUCUAUUUCUUAUCACUUUUAUUAUUCUUAUUCAAAAACGAAUCAACAUUUUCAAAUAUUUUCAAUAUUUCGUCGGGCUAAAGGGUUCAGGUACAGGUUAAUAUGUGUGGGUCUCUGAUUUUUGCACAGGUCGGGCAAAUGAGAUCCACACGAAUUCAAGGGACGUCGGUGGCUUUCACUGAAAGACGAGCUGUAUCACUGAAGGGAAGGACAUCCGUGUGCAAAUUGCUACAAGGGGAUCGAGGCUGAGAGCCAUAUGCAAAACCCGAAACAACGUCGCCCGAAGGAGCAAGGCCAUGAGAGGGAAAUGCCAGACCGGCAGCAGAGCCGCGGGCGGCCAACCGAUUGCGCUGCUUUUGAGGGAAAAACUGAGUGCAGUUAGAGAAUUCAUGGACUGACGUACACGUGCUAUCUGCGUUAUUUGACUUAUACGAAUACGUGUUGUCUAUUCUAUUAGGUCAUAUUUAGUAUUGUAAAAAAAUAAUUCAAUUCACCUAGACAACGAUGGAUAUACGAAUGGUGGACAUCCUAACCAAACGUAUAUGAAAACUUUAUUGACACGACAAAAGUACAGCGACUUUCGUGAGGAUUAUAACAACUAUUUACAGUACAGCUAAGCAGACGUAUAUGCAUAUUUACAGAUAUGAAUAAGUCAACAUGCUGUUUCUAGCAUGUCAUUUACAUAAUUCGAACAUUGCCUGCAAAUGUCUUGAGUUACAAACGAACUUUUACCAAUCUAACGUUUGCGGGAGUUUCUUAACGAUAAAAAUACACGUCCGUGCAGCCGUUUACUUUUGGGUUGUAGCAGCCGUUUACUUUUGGGCUGUAGCAGCCUUUCACUCCGUCACUUACAAGAAGAUACAACGCAACGUUUGCUAGAUGUAAUUAGUCUGUAGUAUUGUACUAUGAUUGUUAUUCUUGAACGGUUAUUCGUUUGAUGACGUGAACUACAACAGACCGAGAUGUACUUAGUCUAGUAAUAUGAGCGAUAUUGUGUAGCUGUCUGUCAGGUAAGACAGAAUACAAAGACGAGAGAUUUCUACGGCCGUUCAGGAGAGCAGACAUUUGUCUAGUACUGAGACAGAAUGUUAAUACAAGAGAUUUCUAAGGUAAGAGAGUUCAGUUCAGGAGAGGCAAUAGAGAACUUCAGUUAAGGCCAAAGAGAGAUAGCAUUAUUAUGAAGUCUAUUAUAUUGUUAAAAGUCUUCUGUACCCAGCGUGCGGAAA